AUGCAGCGCUCGUUGAUGAUGUCGGUGCUGCUAUGCAGCGGUGCUGGAGCUACGACGGGCCGCCGGUGCUACGAUGGAGCACCGCCGCGUCGGUGUCAUGGCUGUAAUGAAGCAUCGCCGGAGCUUCAACGGGCUACCCGCGCUGCGUUGGAGCACUGCCACGCCGCUGUCGCGGUUGCAAUGGAGCAUGGCAGGAGCCGCAACAGGCCGCCGGUGCUGCGUUGGAGCACAACGUGCCGGUGUCGCAGAUGCAAUGAAGUAUUGCCGGAGCUACAAUUGGCCUCCAGUUCUGCGAUGGAGCACCGACGGCCUCGCCGGUGUUGGCGCUGCAGAGCAUGGCAGCGGUGCUAUGAUGAAGCUCGACGGUGGCAGCAAAAAGUGUUGCGGGGAGCUACAUCUUUUUUGUUCCUCUACGUGGUGUUCUUUUUCUUCCUUUUGCUAAUGUGCAUGCCGGGGUAG
Molecule: ribosomal RNA, 459 nt
Filed under: Triticum aestivum (bread wheat)
Lineage: Eukaryota; Viridiplantae; Streptophyta; Magnoliopsida; Poales; Poaceae
Description: partial small subunit ribosomal RNA
Source: RNAcentral